This is a non-coding RNA of Meleagris gallopavo (turkey), 3646 nucleotides long. Lineage: Eukaryota; Metazoa; Chordata; Aves; Galliformes; Phasianidae. The record is from RefSeq and is a predicted model, not a curated record.
GACAAAUUUUUCUGACUGGAGAGAUGUGCCCCCAUCUGAAAAUAUUCAGUGUAUCUACAUUUCAGUGGCAAAAGAUCUUGCUAUGCUUAGCUGCAUGUGUAGAGCUGAAAAAUUCAGAAGAAAUAGAUUAUUACAGAAACCUCAGUUCCUGUCUUUCCUUGUCUGGCUAUUGUGAAAGGAAGAACUUUCUAAAAUUAGUGAAGGAAUGUACAGUACAUUUUUUGGCCCUCAUCAGUUAUAAAGAAACAUGGGAUGACUGACAUUUUCAGUCAUACUGUGCUUAUUCAACACCUACAUCAGUGACCUGGAUGAAACAAUAGAAUGUGCCCUCAGAAAGUUUUCUAAUGACACAAAGCUGAGAGGAGUGGCUGGUACAUCAGAACGCUGUGCUGCCUUCAGCAAGACCUGGACAGAUUGGAGAGCUGAGAGGACAGGAACCUGAUGAGGUUCAGCAAGGGCAAGUACUAAGUCCUGCAUAUGGGAAGGAAUUACCACAUGCACUUUCUGCAGGUUAACGGCUGACCUGAUGAAGAGGAGCCCAGCACAGAAGGAUCUGGACGUUUUGGUGGGCAACAGGUUAGCCAUGAACCAGCCGUGUGCCCUUGUGGCCAAGAAGACGAACAGUAUGCUCGGUGCGUUAAAAAUAGCAUGGCUAGCAGGUUGAAGGACAUGACCCUCAUGUUCUGCUCUACCCUGGUGAGGCCACAUCUGGAGUACUGCGUCCAGUCUGGGCCCCUCUAUUCAGGAAAUACAGGAACUUCUAGAGAGAGUCCAGCGGAGGGCCCCAAAGAUUAUGCGAGACCUGGAGCAUCUCCAUUAUGAGGAAAGACUGAGAGACCUGGGGCUGUCCAUCCUGGAGUGGUGAAGGCUGAGAGGAAAUCUUCUCAAUGCUUAUAAGUAUCUACAAGAUGGGAGUCAAGUGGAUGGGGCCAGACUAUUUUCAACAGUGCCUAGAGACAGAACAAGGAGCAAUGGGCACAAACUGGAACAUACGAAGUUCUGUAUGAUCAAGAGGGAGAAGUUGUUCUUUACUGUGAAGGUGACAGAGCAUGGGAACAAGCUGUCCAGAGAGAUUAUGGAGUCUCCUUCUCUGGAGAAAUUCAAGAUCUGCCUGGAUGAUUUCCUGUGUAACUUAUUCUAGGGAACUUGCUUUAGCAGAGAUGUUGGACGAGGUGAUCUCCAGAGAUCACUUCCAACCCCAUGAUUCUAUGAUUCUGUGUGAAAUAGAAAUUUUCAAACGAAACAUAGGGGGAAAAAAUAGAAAUUAUUAUAUUAAAUGAUUCAUUUUCCUUGUAAAAAAGGCUUUCCGAUUAAUAUUUUUAAGUGUUUUUUGUUGUUUUCUUCUUUAGCAAAUAUUAACUAAAGUUUGCUGUGGGCAAUGUAAAUCCAAUUCUUAUUGACUACAAUGACCAAAAAUAUAGUAUUGUUGGAGAUACAGAAUCAUUAAUGUGAUGAUAUGUUGGUUUCAUAUGAGAAAAUUCCAUGUGAUCCUCUCAUAUUGUAGCUUCACAGUAUACCAGCUUAAUGACACUUUAAAGCAUUCCCAACCCUUCAUCCCUCAGCUGUACCACCAGGAGUGUUCAUGAGGCUCUCUGCUGAAAUGAUGAAUUAGCCCAGGUAAAAAAUAGCGCAGUGGGAAAAUAGAAAAAUUUGUCCUCAAGCCAGGUAUGUUCAGUGAUGUUGGUGUCACUACAGCUCCACAAACAGAUAUAUGCCUGAAUGUGGUGGAAUGGCAUGCAUAGAAGCAGCUGGACCACAGAUACAUGAUGGGAACUCCUUACUCUUCCAAGUGUGGGUACUGUGAAACUGAUAAUGUUAGAGAAAUGCAAUUUUUAAUGAAAGUCAUUUAUCAGCUAACAAUGUGGCAAAACUGUCAGGAUGACCUCAGUACCAGGAAGGUUAUGGAGCAGAUCAUCUUGAAUAUCUUCAUAUGGCACAGAAUGGACAAUCAAAUAAUCAGAAGAAGCCAGCAUAACUUUAUGAAAGGCAAGUCCUGCCUGACUAACUGGAUCUCUUUUAUGACAAGAUAAACCACUUAGUAGAUGAGGAAAGGCUGUAAUUUUGUUCACCUCCAUUUUAGUAAAUUGUUUAACACCAUUUCCCACAGCAUUCUUGAAGAACUGUCUGCUCAAGACUUGGACAGAUAUUGGUUUGCUAGGUGAAGAACUGGAUGGAUAACCAGUCUCAAAGCAUCAUUAGAAAUGGUGUUCAGUACACCAGGCAGCUACUCAUCAAAAGCAUUCACCAGGGCUCAGUUGUGGUAUCAGAUUUUUUUUAACAUUUUUAUCAGUGAUUUGGGUGAGAGAAUUGAAUGCAUCCUUAACACAUUUGCAGAUGACACCAAGUUAAUCAGGACCUACUUAAAGAUAGGAAAGUUCUGUAGAGGAAUCUGGAUAGGCCAGAUCAAUGGACUACAUCCAAUUGUGUGGCAUUCAACAAAGCUAAAUGAGUGUUCCACUUGGGUCAUAGUAACCCCAUGCAACAUUACAGGCUUGGGAAAGAGUGUCUGGAAAGUUGCUCAGUAGAAAAGGUCCUGAAGGUGCUGGCUGACAGCUCACAGAACAUGAGCCAUUAGUGCGCAUGAGUGGCCAAGAAACUCAGCUGUGUCCUAGCUUGUAGUAGAAGUAGUGUGUUUAGUAGGACUAGGGAAGUGAUUGCCCCCUUGUAUUAGGCACAGAUGAAUGCAUACCUUGAGCACUGUGUUCAGUUUUGGGCAUCUCAUUACAAGAAAGACAUCAAGUUGCUUGAGCACAUGCAGAGAAAAGUAACAAAGCUGACAAAGGCACUAGAAAACAAGAUUUAUAAGGAGUAGUUGAGGGAGUUGGGACUGUUCGAGCUGUGCUGGGGAGACUUAGAUUAGUCAUUAGGAAGAUUUAUUCAUGGGGAGGGUUAUGCAGAAUUGGAAAAGACCAUUCAGGGAAGUGAUGGAGACUUCAUUUCUGAAGGUAUUUAAGACAUGUAUGGAUAUAGCACUGAGGGAUGUGAUUUGGUGAUGGGAUUUGGUAGCUCAAAUUCACAGUUGGGCUUGAUGGCCCUGACAGUCUUUUUGAAUUUAGAUGAUUUUACAAUUCUUGACAGCAUGUAUAGAUAUUAAAGAGCAGAGUUAACCACAAUUCUUGGGAGGUGAAUUUGUGCUUAAUUUAAUAUAGUUGCUGAACCAUCAUGCUUGGAUGAAAACUGUGCAUACAUGUCCAACCCAGUAGCUUUAUGUUUUUGUUGCCCUAACUUUUCAUCCUUUAGAAAAGAAAAUGAAUUUUUACUUACAUACAUUGACUAUUUUAUAUGUGACCCAAGACAAUUCUUCUUCACUCAGUGUGUCCCAAGCAAGUUAAAAUGUUGGACACUCAUGUGAGGUUUGUGUUCAGCUGUGGAACAGAAAGGAAAAGACUCAAACCUGUCUAUUAAUCUGUAUUAUUUCAAUCAUUUGGGUCACAGAAACCAUCUUGGGCAAUGUCAUCAACCAUUCUUCAAACUCUGUAACAUAGUACGGCAUAAAUUCCAACUGCAGAUUUCCUUUGUCAUUACUGAAUAAAUGUAGUUUAAAAUCUAUGUAUGAAGCACAUUAGGUCUGAUUUGAUAUCUUUCUGAACUUCUAGGUAUCUCUAAAAACAAAAGUCUUCAGUUUGAUUAAAUUAGUUUUUAUGAA